Non-coding RNA from Pangasius djambal, 73 nucleotides. The record is from the annotation of a GenBank genome assembly. NCBI's taxonomy places the organism in Eukaryota, Metazoa, Chordata, Actinopteri, Siluriformes, Pangasiidae.
CCCGGCUAGCUCAGUUGGUAGAGCAUGGGCCUCUUGAUCUCAGGAUUGUGGGUUUGAGCCCCAGCUGCUGGGG